AUGUUGGGAGUAUUUAAAGUACAACUGCCUUCCAAGCAGGAAGCCCACACAUGGCCAACAUA
RNAcentral lists this transfer RNA (62 nucleotides) under Quadrula quadrula (mapleleaf mussel). RNAcentral describes it as "tRNA-Gly". The record is from RNAcentral. Lineage: Eukaryota; Metazoa; Mollusca; Bivalvia; Unionida; Unionidae.